CGGCGGACGGGUGAGUAACACGUGGGUAACCUGCCCAUAAGACUGGGAUAACUCCGGGAAACCGGGGCUAAUACCGGAUAACAUUUUGAACCGCAUGGUUCGAAAUUGAAAGGCGGCUUCGGCUGUCACUUAUGGAUGGACCCGCGUCGCAUUAGCUAGUUGGUGAGGUAACGGCUCACCAAGGCAACGAUGCGUAGCCGACCUGAGAGGGUGAUCGGCCACACUGGGACUGAGACACGGCCCAGACUCCUAC
Molecule: ribosomal RNA, 253 nt
Filed under: Bacillus cereus
Lineage: Bacteria; Bacillati; Bacillota; Bacilli; Caryophanales; Bacillaceae
Description: partial 16S ribosomal RNA
Rfam family: Bacterial small subunit ribosomal RNA
Source: RNAcentral